Molecule: RNA transcript, 2196 nt
Organism: Brassica oleracea var. oleracea
Lineage: Eukaryota; Viridiplantae; Streptophyta; Magnoliopsida; Brassicales; Brassicaceae
Gene name: pentatricopeptide repeat-containing protein At1g80880, mitochondrial
Exons: 3
Source: RefSeq, a predicted model, not a curated record
UUCAUCUCCUCGUCUCACAAAAGACGCAGUCAAAAAACCAUUCCGAAAGCUCUCCUCCCACUCCGAUGAGCUGUGCUGCGAUUGCUAGGAAACUAACGCGUACAACACAGCUGUUGAAUUUUCAACGUCAGUAUCUUUCACGUGCAGUGUCGAGAUCGUUUUCUAGCUCAUCUUUCCACAUUGUUUCCUUCUCCUCAGCAUUUCAUCGAACAGGUCUUGCGCAUUCUCAAAUCUUAAGCCAUGUCCCUUAUUUUGUCUACUACAAUCGCUUCUCCACCAAAACCAUCUUCGAAGAAUUUGAUAUCAACAACGAAGUGGCUCCUUUGGAGAAGGGUCUGAUUGAUUUAGUCAGGCAGGUCUCUGAGCUAGAGUCGGAGUCGGAGUCGGAUGCCAUGGUUUCUCUGGAAGAGUCAACCUUUGAUCUAAAUAAUGGUUCUUUGUACUCUUUAAUCUGGGAAUUAAGAGAUGAAUGGAGGCUUGCCUUUCUAGCGUUUAAAUGGGGAGAGAGACGAGGCUGCGAUGAUCAGAAAGCUUGUGACUUGAUGAUCUGGGUGUUGGGUAAUCAUCAAAAGUUCAACAUAGCGUGGUGUUUGAUCCGUGACAUGUUUCAUGUCUCAAGGGAUACCAGAAAGGCCAUGUUUCUCAUGAUGGACAGGUAUGCUGCUGCUAAUGAUACAAGCCAAGCUAUUCGGACAUUCGAUAUCAUGGAUAAGUUUAAGCACGUUCCUGAUGAUGAAGCAUUUCAAGGAUUGUUACACGCCUUGUGUAGACAUGGGCACAUUGAAAAAGCUGAAGAAUUCAUGCUCGCAAGCAAAAAGCUCUUUCCUUUGGACGUUGAAGGAUUUAACGUGAUUCUUAAUGGUUGGUGUAACGUUUGGACUGAUGUGACUGAAGCCAAGAGGAUUUGGCGAGAGAUGGGGAACUACUGUAUCACGCCUAACGAGGACUCUUACAGUCACAUGAUCUCUUGCUUUUCCAAAGUUGGCAACCUUUUUGAUUCUCUUAGGCUCUACGAUGAGAUGAGGAAACGAGGGUUUACUCCCGGGGUUGAAGUUUAUAACUCUUUGGUUUAUGUGUUGACUUGCGAGAAUUGCUUUGGUGAAGCUGUGAAGCUUGUGGAGAAGAUGAAGGAGGAAACUUUAAAGCCAGAUUCAGUCACUUACAAUGCGAUGAUACGGCCUCUUUGUGAGCAGGGAAAAGUUGAAGAAGCGAGGGAUGUAUUGGCGACUAUGAUAAGUGAGAAGCUAAGUCCAACAGUUGAUACGUUUCAUGCAUUCCUUGAAUGUGUGAAUUUCGAUCAAACUUUAGAGGUUUUAGGACAAAUGAAGGUUUCUUGUUUAGGUCCUAAAGAAGACACCUUUCUCCUCGUUCUUGGAAGAUUAUUCAAGAAGAAGCAACCGGAGAAUGCUUUGAAGAUCUGGGCAGAGAUGGGUCGUUUUGAGGUCGCUGCUAAUGGUGCUCUUUGCUUGGCCACAGUACAAGGGCUUUUGGCAUGUGGGUGGCUGCAGAAGGCCAGAGAGACGUAUUUAGAUAUGGAAGCAAAAGGAUUCCCUGGUAGUCCUAAGCUCCAGAAACUUCUUAAGGAACAGAAGGUGAAGGGGGUUAGAAAAAGCAAGAGGAAAGAUCUUCAAAAAGUUGGUUCUCGAGGAGGCUAUAGAGGUCAACGAUCAGUAGUAUACAAAAAUGUAUCUGAUAGGGGUAAGACUUGAGAUCAAACGAUCACUCAAGUAAAGUUGAUUCUCAGACCUCGUGGUCUCAAGUCCUCAGAAUGUGACGCAUGCAAUGUGUUCUAGCUCGUCUGUUCCAUUUGGUUUGGCUAAACAUUUGCAACCAUGCUGAUUCAGGACCGGAUUACAUGAGGAUGUUAUUAACAAUUCUUAUUCUUGACUGUUCUUGGCACACACGUCCACACAUCCUCCAAGUUCGAGUAGAGUAAAUUUAAGUUCAACGUGUUGUGAUAUGAACCAGACAACUCAAGAGGCAGAUGCUGAGCUCACUUUGUUUCAAAAGCAAGAUUUUUAGGACUCUCCUUGUCCAGCUUGUCUUUUUCUGUGUUCUUUUGUCCUUAGUUUUGUUCAUAACUCAUCUGUCUCAUUUAGUUACUCAUGAACCGUGAUGAUUGAUAUUGCCUUGGAUUCUUUUUGAGUGUUGCAAUUGUUAUGCCACAUUUCAAGCUACCAUCAAAGAAAAAGUUAU